Molecule: small nuclear RNA, 102 nt
Organism: Salvia hispanica
Lineage: Eukaryota; Viridiplantae; Streptophyta; Magnoliopsida; Lamiales; Lamiaceae
Source: RefSeq, a predicted model, not a curated record
AUCCAUUCGGUGACAUCUAAUAAAAUUGAAACAAUAUAGAGAAUAUUAGCAUUACUCAUAUACAAGAUGACAUGCACAAAUUGAGAAAUAUACUACUCUAUC